UGGAAGUCGAAGAUCCCAUUAGAAGUUAAAAUCUUUAUAUGGUAUCUUCGUAGGGGAGUCGUGCCAACCAAAGACAACCUCGCACGACGCAACUGGCAAGGGAGUAAGAAGUGUUGUUUUUGUACUCAUGACGAGACAACCAAACACUUGUUUUUCCAAUGCAAGUUUGCAUGUUCUACAUGGCCAGUUAUCCAAAUAGCGUCAAAUUCGUACCGCCCACAAGUGUUGCCAAUAUUUUUGAUCAUUGGUUGA
RNAcentral lists this ribosomal RNA (252 nucleotides) under Triticum aestivum (bread wheat). RNAcentral's name for it is "partial small subunit ribosomal RNA". Lineage: Eukaryota; Viridiplantae; Streptophyta; Magnoliopsida; Poales; Poaceae. The record is from RNAcentral.